Monodelphis domestica (gray short-tailed opossum) is the source of this 840-nucleotide long non-coding RNA. RefSeq lists it as uncharacterized. Lineage: Eukaryota; Metazoa; Chordata; Mammalia; Didelphimorphia; Didelphidae. The record is from RefSeq and is a predicted model, not a curated record.
GGGUAUGAAUACAUAUAUACACAGAGAGAUGCAUGUAUUGUAUAUGCAUAUGUACAUAUAUAUAUUUAGAAGUGAAAGUAAGGUAAAAAACAAGAGAUAACAAAAUUAUAUAAGUACUUUUUUGGCCUUCUCAAAUAUGUAUGGUUAGGGAGAGCCCCUGGUCCCCAAAUAUCUCCUCUACCCACCUGUUAUAAGUACCUAAAAAUCUACUAUUAAAUAAUCUUCCUUUGGUGUCUUCAGAAAUUAAAAUAACACAUUUAGCUACUAUUAGACAUCAAUACUUUAGUGUAGAUUAGUUUUCCCAACUCUUUCCCCUCAGCCAACUAGGAGGACACUGAGGAUGAAGAAGGAUUAAAAAAGGGGGGGGGCAGGAAGGUAAUAACUGUGUUGGGAAUACAAGGUAUUGUCCAAGAAAAGCUGGCUGGGGUCUGUGUGUCUUCUCUUUCUUUCUUUUUUCCAGUUCUCCCCACCUUCAUGCAAUACCGUUGGCUAAUUGGCUAUACUGAGUGGGAUCACAGAAUUGUAGAUUAGAAUGGGAAAAGGCAGAAAACAUGGAGUCCAAGCCCUUCAUUUUACAGAUCAGGAGGCUGGAACUCCUAAAGCAACUUCAGAGGAAGGAACAGGAUGACUGCAAAGAUAUUAUAUUUUGCAGCAAUUCACUUUGCUACUCUCUGCCAAAAUCUGAUGAAGAGAGGGAACAUCCAUUAAUUGAUAGGCUGCUAGAAUGGGAAGAGAACUUAGAAGUAAUGAAAUCCAACUGUCUCUUCUUUCAGAUGAGGAAACUGAGUCCUAGAGGGGAAAUGACUUGAUUAUUGAUUAAAGAGGUAACAAAGCCCUGAA